This 250-nucleotide unclassified non-coding RNA is filed under the name plant metagenome. Its description in RNAcentral is "partial contains small subunit ribosomal RNA, internal transcribed spacer 1, and 5.8S ribosomal RNA". The record is from RNAcentral.
GUAGGUGAACCUGCGGAAGGAUCAUUAACACGUAUUCACGUUUAUAACCCGAGAAUUUCCUUAGGAUGGCUUAUUCGAGUAAAAGCCCUGAUGCUCUUUUGUCAGUGUAUGGCGAGGAGUCUUAAUUGGAACCUACUUGGAAUUGAUUGCUAGCCGCUCUUUAUGAGUUCUCUCAUAAGGGUAUGUGGUUCUUUCUAAUCUGAGUGGGAUCUGACUGAGGCAUCUUGCUGUGUGUCGAUGAGAGAGUGUU